AUUGAACGCUGCGGCAGGCCUAACACAUGCAAGUCGAACGGUAGCACAGAGAGCUUGCUCUCGGGUGACGAGUGGCGGACGGGUGAGUAACGUCUGGGAAACUGCCCGAUGGAGGGGGAUAACUACUGGAAACGGUAGCUAAUACCGCAUAACGUCGCAAGACCAAAGUGGGGGACCUUCGGGCCUCACACCAUCGGAUGUGCCCAGAUGGGAUUAGCUAGUAGGUGGGGUAAUGGCUCACCUAGGCGACGAUCCCUAGCUGGUCUGAGAGGAUGACCAGCCACACUGGAACUGAGACACGGUCCAGACUCCUACGGGAGGCAGCAGUGGGGAAUAUUGCACAAUGGGCGCAAGCCUGAUGCAGCCAUGCCGCGUGUAUGAAGAAGGCCUUCGGGUUGUAAAGUACUUUCAGCGGGGAGGAAGGCGGUGAAGUUAAUAGCUUCACCGAUUGACGUUACCCGCAGAAGAAGCACCGGCUAACUCCGUGCCAGCCGCCGCAGUAC
This 503-nucleotide ribosomal RNA is filed under the name uncultured bacterium. RNAcentral describes it as "partial 16S ribosomal RNA". It matches the Rfam family "Bacterial small subunit ribosomal RNA", at positions 30 to 523 of the family's 1533-position model. The record is from RNAcentral.